UACGAAGGGGGCUAGCGUUGUUCGGAAUCACUGGGCGUAAAGGGCGCGUAGGCGGCUUUAUAAGUCGGGGGUGAAAGCCUGUGGCUCAACCACAGAAUUGCCUUCGAUACUGUAGAUCUUGAGUCCGGGAGAGGUGAGUGGAACUGCGAGUGUAGAGGUGAAAUUCGUAGAUAUUCGCAAGAACACCAGUGGCGAAGGCGGCUCACUGGCCCGGUACUGACGCUGAGGUGCGAAAGCGUGGGGAGCAAACAGG
RNAcentral lists this ribosomal RNA (253 nucleotides) under uncultured bacterium. RNAcentral's name for it is "partial 16S ribosomal RNA". It matches the Rfam family "Bacterial small subunit ribosomal RNA", at positions 524 to 776 of the family's 1533-position model. The record is from RNAcentral.